GAUGAAGACGCAGCGAACGUGCGAAACGUAAUGUGAAUUGCAGAAUUCAGUGAAUCAUCGAAUCUUUGAACGCAUCUUGCGCUCCUUGGUAUUCCGAGGAGCAUGCCUGUUUGAGUGUCGUGAAAUACUCUCAAUUUCAAUCUUUUUGUUUGAAAUUGGAUUUGGAUGUUGUUGUGGAUCUUGCUACGACUCAUCCUAAAUGCAUUAGCGAUCUGCCUUGAUCACACACAAUGUGAUAAGAUGAGCAUUGUUAUAAUCAAGUCAUGACUGCUUCUAACCGUCCCUUUGGGACAAACGUCUUAUGUCGUUUGACCUCAAAUCAGGUAGGACUACCCGCUGAACUUAAGCAUAUCAAUAAGCGGAGGA
This 366-nucleotide unclassified non-coding RNA is filed under the name soil metagenome. RNAcentral describes it as "partial contains 5.8S ribosomal RNA, internal transcribed spacer 2, and large subunit ribosomal RNA". The stretch from base 1 to 120 matches the Rfam family "5.8S ribosomal RNA", at positions 35 to 154 of the family's 154-position model. The record is from RNAcentral.